RNAcentral lists this ribosomal RNA (497 nucleotides) under uncultured bacterium. RNAcentral's name for it is "partial 16S ribosomal RNA". It matches the Rfam family "Bacterial small subunit ribosomal RNA", at positions 28 to 507 of the family's 1533-position model. The record is from RNAcentral.
GAUGAACGCUGGCGGCGUGCCUAAUACAUGCCAGUCGAGCGAACAGACGAGGAGCUUGCUCCUCUGACGUUAGCGGCGGACGGGUGAGUAACACGUGGAUAACUUACCUAUAAGACUGGGAUAACUUCGGGAAACCGGAGCUAAUACCGGAUAAUAUAUUGAACCGCAUGGUUCAAUAGUGAAAGACGGUUUUGCUGUCACUUAUAGAUGGAUCCGCGCCGCAUUAGCUAGUUGGUAAGGUAACGGCUUACCAAGGCAACGAUGCGUAGCCGACCUGAGAGGGUGAUCGGCCACACUGGAACUGAGACACGGUCCAGACUCCUACGGGAGGCAGCAGUAGGGAAUCUUCCGCAAUGGGCGAAAGCCUGACGGAGCAACGCCGCGUGAGUGAUGAAGGUCUUCGGAUCGUAAAACUCUGUUAUUAGGGAAGAACAAAUGUGUAAGUAACUAUGCACGUCUUGACGGUACCUAAUCAGAAAGCCACGGCUAACUACGUG